Molecule: transfer RNA, 97 nt
Filed under: Methylobacterium crusticola
Lineage: Bacteria; Pseudomonadati; Pseudomonadota; Alphaproteobacteria; Hyphomicrobiales; Methylobacteriaceae
Description: tRNA-Ser
Source: RNAcentral
CGCGGUGAAGGAGUUGGUGGCCGAGAGUGCCUGCUGCGCAGUCGACUUCAACUGGUCGGUGAGCUUCUGCAGGUUCGUGAUCCCGGUCGCCGCGGCC